RNAcentral lists this ribosomal RNA (555 nucleotides) under uncultured bacterium. Its description in RNAcentral is "partial 16S ribosomal RNA". It matches the Rfam family "Bacterial small subunit ribosomal RNA", at positions 355 to 900 of the family's 1533-position model. The record is from RNAcentral.
UAGGGAAUCUUCCACAAUGGACGACAGUCUGAUGGAGCAACGCCGCGUGAGUGAUGAAGGGUUUCGGCUCGUAAAACUCUGUUGUUGGAGAAGAACGGGUGUCAGAGUAACUGUUGACAUCGUGACGGUAUCCAACCAGAAAGCCACGGCUAACUACGUGCCAGCAGCCGCGGUAAUACGUAGGUGGCAAGCGUUGUCCGGAUUUAUUGGGCGUAAAGCGAGCGCAGGCGGUUUUUUAGGUCUGAUGUGAAAGCCUUCGGCUUAACCGGAGAAGUGCAUCGGAAACCGGGAGACUUGAGUGCAGAAGAGGACAGUGGAACUCCAUGUGUAGCGGUGAAAUGCGUAGAUAUAUGGAAGAACACCAGUGGCGAAGGCGGCUGUCUGGUCUGCAACUGACGCUGAGGCUCGAAAGCAUGGGUAGCGAACAGGAUUAGAUACCCUGGUAGUCCAUGCCGUAAACGAUGAGUGCUAAGUGUUGGAGGGUUUCCGCCCUUCAGUGCUGCAGCUAACGCAUUAAGCACUCCGCCUGGGGGAGUACGACCGCAAGGUUGAAAC